This 131-nucleotide non-coding RNA is filed under the name Dietzia timorensis. Lineage: Bacteria; Bacillati; Actinomycetota; Actinomycetes; Mycobacteriales; Dietziaceae. The record is from RNAcentral.
GUCUUUCGUUUUUGCCGGGGCUAACUUAAAGAAGUCUCAAGGCACCGGAACCUCGUGCGAAUCGAGGGCGGUCGCGCCACUGUAAGGCCUACGGGCCGAGCCAGAGCUGGUGCCCUGAGAACGAAUCCCAU